This 514-nucleotide ribosomal RNA is filed under the name Staphylococcus aureus. RNAcentral's name for it is "bacterial SSU rRNA". It matches the Rfam family "Bacterial small subunit ribosomal RNA", at positions 206 to 712 of the family's 1533-position model. Lineage: Bacteria; Bacillati; Bacillota; Bacilli; Caryophanales; Staphylococcaceae. The record is from RNAcentral.
GUCUUGCUGUCACUUAUAGAUGGAUCCGCGCUGCAUUAGCUAGUUGGUAAGGUAACGGCUUACCAAGGCAACGAUGCAUAGCCGACCUGAGAGGGUGAUCGGCCACACUGGAACUGAGACACGGUCCAGACUCCUACGGGAGGCAGCAGUAGGGAAUCUUCCGCAAUGGGCGAAAGCCUGACGGAGCAACGCCGCGUGAGUGAUGAAGGUCUUCGGAUCGUAAAACUCUGUUAUUAGGGAAGAACAUAUGUGUAAGUAACUGUGCACAUCUUGACGGUACCUAAUCAGAAAGCCACGGCUAACUACGUGCCAGCAGCCGCGGUAAUACGUAGGUGGCAAGCGUUAUCCGGAAUUAUUGGGCGUAAAGCGCGCGUAGGCGGUUUUUUAAGUCUGAUGUGAAAGCCCACGGCUCAACCGUGGAGGGUCAUUGGAAACUGGAAAACUUGAGUGCAGAAGAGGAAAGUGGAAUUCCAUGUGUAGCGGUGAAAUGCGCAGAGAUAUGGAGGAACACCAG